GAUGGGCAUGUGAUGAAUCUCAUUGUAACAAAUGGGUAAUUUGCGGCUGAAAUUUUUUUUAUUGAUGCUAUAUCACCUUGGAGAACUGAUGCCCUGU
Small nucleolar RNA from Quercus robur (English oak), 97 nucleotides. Lineage: Eukaryota; Viridiplantae; Streptophyta; Magnoliopsida; Fagales; Fagaceae. The record is from RefSeq and is a predicted model, not a curated record.